This 240-nucleotide unclassified non-coding RNA is filed under the name soil metagenome. RNAcentral describes it as "partial contains 5.8S ribosomal RNA, internal transcribed spacer 2, and large subunit ribosomal RNA". The record is from RNAcentral.
AACGGUCUAUACCUGCGGUACCUGCGGAAGGAUCAUUACUGAGGAGGGUCCAUGGCCCGAUCUCCAACCCUUUGAUAAAAACACCAUGUUGCUUUGGCAGGCCCGCCCGUUGGGGCCGCGGGGGAUCGCCGGUCCCUAGCCCGUGCCUGCCGGUAGCCUUCACAAAACUCUCAAAAUGUUGUCGUCUGAGAUGAUUAGAAUAAUAAAACUUUUAACAACGGAUCUCUAGAUCGGAAGAGC